RNAcentral lists this ribosomal RNA (347 nucleotides) under uncultured microorganism. Its description in RNAcentral is "bacterial SSU rRNA". It matches the Rfam family "Archaeal small subunit ribosomal RNA", at positions 330 to 679 of the family's 1478-position model. The record is from RNAcentral.
GUGCAGCAGGCGAGAAUACUUUACAAUGUGCGAAAGCACGAUAAGGGAACUCUGAGUGCCUCCUAAGGAGGCUGUUCAGGUGUCUAAAAGCACCUGAAGGAAGGGCUGGGUAAGACCGGUGCCAGCCGCCGCGGUAACACCGGCAGCCCAAGUGGUAGCCACGUUUAUUGGGUCUAAAGCGUCCGUAGCCGGGCUGGGUAAGUUCCUUGGGAAAUUUGGCUGCUUAACAGUCAAGCUUUCAGGGAAUACUGCCCGGCUUGGGACCGGGAGAGGUCAGAGGUACUCCAGGGGGUAGGGGUGAAAUCCAUUAAAUCCUUGGGGGGACCACCGGUAGCGAAGGCGUCUAA